UACGGAGGGUGCGAGCGUUGUCCGGAAUCAUUGGGCGUAAAGGGCGCGUAGGUGGCCCGGUCAGUUCGUGGUGAAAGCGCGGGGCUCAACUCCGCGUCGGCCAUGAAUACUGCUGGGCUUGAGCACUGUAGAGGCUCGCGGAAUUCCCAGUGUAGAGGUGAAAUUCGUAGAUAUUGGGAAGAACACCGGUGGCGAAGGCGGCGAGCUGGUCCAUUACUGACGCUGAGGCGCGACAGCGUGGGGAGCAAACAGG
RNAcentral lists this ribosomal RNA (253 nucleotides) under uncultured bacterium. RNAcentral describes it as "partial 16S ribosomal RNA". It matches the Rfam family "Bacterial small subunit ribosomal RNA", at positions 524 to 776 of the family's 1533-position model. The record is from RNAcentral.